RNAcentral lists this ribosomal RNA (400 nucleotides) under uncultured bacterium. RNAcentral's name for it is "bacterial SSU rRNA". It matches the Rfam family "Bacterial small subunit ribosomal RNA", at positions 355 to 771 of the family's 1533-position model. The record is from RNAcentral.
UGGGGAAUCUUGUGCAAUGGGGGCAACCCUGACACAGCCACGCCGCGUGCGGGAAGAAGGCCUUCGGGUCGUAAACCGCUUUCAGCAGGAACGAAAAUGACGGUACCUGCAGAAGAAGGAGCGGCCAACUACGUGCCAGCAGCCGCGGUGACACGUAGGCUCCAAGCGUUGUCCGGAUUUAUUGGGCGUAAAGAGCUCGUAGGCGGUUCAGCAAGUCGGGUGUGAAAACUGUGGGCUUAACCCACAGCCUGCACCCGAAACUGCUGUGACUAGAGUUUGGUAGGGGAGCGGGGAAUUCCUGGUGUAGCGGUGAAAUGCGCAGAUAUCAGGAGGAACACCGGUGGCGAAGGCGCCGCUCUGGGCCAAUACUGACGCUGAGGAGCGAAAGCGUGGGUAGCAA